AGAGUUUGAUCMUGGCUCAGAACGAACGCUGGCGGCGUGCUUAACACAUGCAAAGUCGAACGCGAAAAGGGACUUCGGUCCCGAGUAGAGUGGCGCACGGGUGAGUAACGCGUAAGUAAUCUACCCCUGUAUCUGGAAUAACCCACCGAAAGGUGAGCUAAUACCGGAUACGUUUAUCUUGAUGCGAAUGAUGAUAAAGAAAGGUGGCCUCUUCAUGAAAGCUACUGUACAGGGACGAGCUUGCGUACCAUUAGCUAGUUGGUAGGGUAAUGGCCUACCAAGGCGACGAUGGUUAGCGGGUCUGAGAGGAUGAUCCGCCACACUGGAACUGGAACACGGACCAGACUCCUACGGGAGGCAGCAGUGAGGAAUAUUGCGCAAUGGGGGCAACCCUGACGCAGCGACGCCGCGUGGAUGAUGAAGGCCCUUGGGUCGUAAAAUCCUGUCAGAUGGAAAGAAAUGUACAGGUGUUAAUAUCGCCUGUAUUUGACGGUACCAUCAAAGGAAGCACCGGCUAACUCCGUGCCAGCMGCCGCGGUAAUA
RNAcentral lists this ribosomal RNA (543 nucleotides) under bacterium enrichment culture clone Cont2_3130. Its description in RNAcentral is "bacterial SSU rRNA". It matches the Rfam family "Bacterial small subunit ribosomal RNA", at positions 8 to 525 of the family's 1533-position model. The record is from RNAcentral.